AGGACCCAGGGCCAGCCGUUGGCAGAGAGGUGACCAAGAAACGUACAUGGAGACCAGGCUUGGCUGUGGGGCAGAGCUGCCAGGGGUUGGCUAGGCUAUCAGACAGGGAGGGUGUGGUAUGGAUGUGUUGACCCCUGAAGUGGUUCUGAUGACUUUUCCCUAUCUCACUCUCCUCAGACAUCAUCAUGAUGGAGGACCUGCCUGGCCUAGCCCCAGGCCCAGCCCCCAGCCCAGCCCCCAGCCCCACAGUAGCCCCUGACCCAGCCCCAGACGCCUACCGUCCAGUGGGGCUGACCAAGGCCGUGCUGUCCCUGCACACACAGAAGGAAGAGCAAGCCUUCCUCAGCCGCUUCCGAGACCUGGGCAGGCUGCGUGGACUCGACAGCUCUUCCACAGCUCCCUCAGCCCUUGGCGAGCGAGGCUGCCACCACGGCCCCGCACCCCCAAGCCGCCGACACCACUGCCGAUCCAAAGCCAAGCGCUCACGCCACCACCAGAACCCUCGGGCUGAAGCGCCCUGCUAUGUCUCACACCCCUCAC
This 540-nucleotide small RNA is filed under the name Pan troglodytes (chimpanzee). RNAcentral describes it as "retained intron". Lineage: Eukaryota; Metazoa; Chordata; Mammalia; Primates; Hominidae. The record is from RNAcentral.